Molecule: ribosomal RNA, 468 nt
Filed under: uncultured bacterium
Lineage: Bacteria
Description: partial 16S ribosomal RNA
Rfam family: Bacterial small subunit ribosomal RNA
Source: RNAcentral
GACGAACGCUGGCGGCGUGCUUAACACAUGCAAGUCGAACGGAAAGGCCCUGCUUUUGUGGGGUGCUCGAUUGGCGAACGGGUGAGUAACACGUGAGUAACCUGCCCUUGACUUUGGGAUAACUUCAGGAAACUGGGGCUAUUACCGGAUAGGAGCUCCUGCUGCAUGGUGGGGGUUGGAAAGUUUCGGCGGUUGGGGAUGGACUCGAGGCUUACCAGCUUGUUGGUGGGGUAGUGGCUUACCAAGGCUUUGACGGGUAGCCGGCAUGAGAGGGUUAACGGCGACAUGGGGACUGAGAUACGGACCAGACUCCUACGGGAGGCAGCAGGGGGGAAUAUUGCACAAUGGGCGGAAGCCUGAUGCAGCAACGCCGCGUGCGGGAUGACGGCCUUCGGGUUGUAAACCGCUUUCGCCUGUGACGAAGCGUGAGUGACGGUAAUGGGUAAAGAAGCACCGGCUAACUACGUG